GGGGAUAUAGCUCAGUGGUAGAGCACAUGCCUGGCAUGUGUGAGGCCCUGAGUUUGAUCCCUGGCACUUUAUUUCCC
This 77-nucleotide transfer RNA is filed under the name Marmota monax (woodchuck). RNAcentral describes it as "tRNA.Ala". It matches the Rfam family "tRNA". Rfam says of the family: Transfer RNA (tRNA) molecules are approximately 80 nucleotides in length. Their secondary structure includes four short double-helical elements and three loops (D, anti-codon, and T loops). Lineage: Eukaryota; Metazoa; Chordata; Mammalia; Rodentia; Sciuridae. The record is from RNAcentral.